RNAcentral lists this ribosomal RNA (2036 nucleotides) under Providencia rettgeri. Its description in RNAcentral is "partial 23S ribosomal RNA". The record is from RNAcentral. Lineage: Bacteria; Pseudomonadati; Pseudomonadota; Gammaproteobacteria; Enterobacterales; Morganellaceae.
UUCGACUAGGGGGUCAUCCCGACUUACCAACUCGAUGCAAACUACGAAUACCGAAGAAUGUUAUCACGGGAGACACACGGCGGGUGCUAACGUUCGUCGUGAAGAGGGAAACAACCCAGACCGCCAGCUAAGGUCCCAAAGUCAUAGUUAAGUGGGAAACGAAGUGGGAAGGCUCAGACAGCCAGGAUGUUGGCUUAGAAGCAGCCAUCAUUUAAAGAAAGCGUAAUAGCUCACUGGUCGAGUCGGCCUGCGCGGAAGAUGUAACGGGGCUAAACUAUGCACCGAAGCUGCGGCAGCGAUAUUUAGAUAUUGUUGGGUAGGGGAGCGUUCUGUAAGCCUGUGAAGGUGUGCUGUGAGGYAUGCUGGAGGUAUCAGAAGUGCGAAUGCUGACAUAAGUAACGAUAAUGCGGGUGAAAAACCCGCACGCCGGAAGACCAAGGGUUCCUGUCCAACGUUAAUCGGGGCAGGGUGAGUCGACCCCUAAGGCGAGGCAGAAAUGCGUAGUCGAUGGGAAACGGGUUAAUAUUCCCGUACUGGUGAUAAUUGCGAUGGGGGGACGGAGAAGGCUAGGCUAUCCGGGCGACGGUUGUCCCGGUUUAAGGAUGUAGGCAGGUGAAUUAGGCAAAUCCGGUUCACUAUAUGCUGAGGUCCGAYGACGAGUCACUACGGUGAUGAAGUAGCUCAUGCCCCGCUUCCAGGAAAAGCCUCUAAGCUCUAGAUUAUCAUUAAUCGUACCCCAAACCGACACAGGUGGUCAGGUAGAGAAUACUCAGGCGCUUGAGAGAACUCGGGUGAAGGAACUAGGCAAAAUGGUGCCGUAACUUCGGGAGAAGGCACGCUGGCAUUAGGUGAAGUGAUUUACUCAUGGAGCUGAAGCCAGUCGCAGAUACCAGCUGGCUGCAACUGUUUAUUAAAAACACAGCACUGUGCAAACACGAAAGUGGACGUAUACGGUGUGACGCCUGCCCGGUGCUGGAAGGUUAAUUGAUGGGGUUAUCCGUAAGGAGAAGCUCUUGAUCGAAGCCCCAGUAAACGGCGGCCGUAACUAUAACGGUCCUAAGGUAGCGAAAUUCCUUGUCGGGUAAGUUCCGACCUGCACGAAUGGCGUAAUGAUGGCCAGGCUGUCUCCACCCGAGACUCAGUGAAAUUGAACUCGCUGUGAAGAUGCAGUGUACCCGCGGCAAGACGGAAAGACCCCGUGAACCUUUACUAUAGCUUGACACUGAACAUUGAGCCUUGAUGUGUAGGAUAGGUGGGAGGCUUYGAAGCGUGGACGCCAGUCUGCGUGGAGCCAACCUUGAAAUACCACCCUUUAAUGUUUGAUGUUCUAACGUUGCCCCAUUAUCUGGGGUGCGGACAGUGUCUGGUGGGUAGUUUGACUGGGGCGGUCUCCUCCCAAAGAGUAACGGAGGAGCACGAAGGUUGGCUAAGCAUGGUCGGACAUCAUGCGGUUAGUGCAAAGGCAUAAGCCAGCUUGACUGCGAGAGUGACGGCUCGAGCAGGUACGAAAGUAGGUCUUAGUGAUCCGGUGGUUCUGAAUGGAAGGGCCAUCGCUCAACGGAUAAAAGGUACUCCGGGGAUAACAGGCUGAUACCGCCCAAGAGUUCAUAUCGACGGCGGUGUUUGGCACCUCGAUGUCGGCUCAUCACAUCCUGGGGCUGAAGUAGGUCCCAAGGGUACGGCUGUUCGCCGUUUAAAGUGGUACGCGAGCUGGGUUUAGAACGUCGUGAGACAGUUCGGUCCCUAUCUGCCGUGGGCGUUGGAAGAUUGAAAGGGGCUGCUCCUAGUACGAGAGGACCGGAGUGGACGCACCACUGGUGUUCGGGUUGUCAUGCCAAUGGCAUUGCCCGGUAGCUAAGUGCGGAAGAGAUAACCGCUGAAAGCAUCUAAGCGGGAAACUUGCCUUGAGAUGAGUCUUCCCUGACUCUUUAAGGGUCCUAAAGGAACGUUUAAGACUAAGACGUUGAUAGGUUGGGUGUGUAAGCGUAGCGAUACGUUGAGCUAACCAAUACUAAUGAACCGUGAGGCUUAACCUG